GACGAAUGCUGGCUGCGUGCUUAACACAUGCAAGUCGAACGGUGAACAGGGGCUUGCCCCUGGGAUCAGUGGCGAACGGGUGAGUAACACGUGGGCAACCUGCCCCUCACUCUGGGAUAACUCCGGGAAACCGGGGCUAAUACCGGAUACGACCAGGCACGACAUCGGGUCUGGUGGAAAGAACUUCGGUGAGGGAUGGGCCCGCGGCCUAUCAGCUUGUUGGUGAGGUAAUGGCUCACCAAGGCGACGACGGGUAGCCGGCCUGAGAGGGCGACCGGCCACACUGGGACUGAGACACGGCCCAGACUCCUACGGGAGGCAGCAGUGGGGAAUAUUGCGCAAUGGGCGAAAGCCUGACGCAGCGACGCAGCGUGAGGGACGAAGGCCUUCGGGUUGUAAACCUCUUUCAGCGGGGACGAAGCGAAAGUGACGGUACCCGCAGAAGAAGCACCGGCUAACUACGUG
RNAcentral lists this ribosomal RNA (465 nucleotides) under uncultured organism. Its description in RNAcentral is "bacterial SSU rRNA". It matches the Rfam family "Bacterial small subunit ribosomal RNA", at positions 28 to 507 of the family's 1533-position model. The record is from RNAcentral.